GCCAGGCCUGGAAUUCUUUGAGUUCUUUGAGAGGAGGUGUGGAGUGGAGCCCUCUGCGACUUGGUUGUAUCUAGUGAGCUGUGUGUGGUUGUAUCGGAUUUUACUGUACUGUGUAUAUGUUUAUGUAUCAGUGUGUGUAAGAGAGUGUGUGUUGACAGAUUUGCCUGUGUGUGAGUGUGUGUACACUUUUGCCUGUGUGUUUGUCAGUAUAUGUAGGAGUGGGUGAGUUUACAGGUUUGUAUGUGUGUAUGUGUUUGUAUGUGUGUACUUCUUCUUGUGCGUGAGUGUGUGUCCCUGUGUGUGUGUGUGUGUGUGUCUGAUGUGUGUUUUUCCACGUUUGCUUGUGUGUAAGUAUGUGUGUUUUGUGUGAAUCUGGGUGUUUGUAAGAGUUUCUGUGAGUAUAAGUUUACUUCUGCGUAUUUCUGGGUGAGUGCCUCUGUGUGUGCCUGUGGUGUGUGUGUGUGUGUGUGUGUGUGUGUGUGUGUGUGUGUUUGUGUGUGUGUGUGUGUCUGUGUGCCUGUGUGUGUUUGUGUGUGUCUGUGUGUGCACGUGCCCAUCUCCUUUUGCCCCUUUUAUCUAUAUUACCUGCACCUCAGUGCAAGAGAAUGUAGAGGCAGGCCAGAAGUCACCCCGGCUGCUGUUCCUGAGAACCAUCUGGAAUCCAUUCACUGAGGGACUCCAUCCCUGGACUGGAAGCUACAGGUGGGACUUAUGUAUCGAGGUCUCCCAGCCCAGGGACAGGGAUGCAUUGAUAAAGUGGAGAGAAGCAGACUGGAAUGGUGCAGAGGUUAUCCUGCCAACAACCCCUAGCCCCCAGCAGCAUGACAAUGUACAACAGCAAGCAGUUUCCCAGCCAGCCUCACUCCCCAUAGACAGACUUCUUCCAGUCCCUCCUUAUGCCAAGGGAAAGAAAAGCAAAAAAAAAAAAAAAAAAAAAAAAAAAAAGCAGGAGCAGGGAAAGAAAAAUUGCUCUACUCCCAGUAGCCAAGGACCAGUCCCUCCCACCCUCCUAUCUGAGCCCAUAACCAGCUACAGCCCAGUCCUGGGCUCAUAUCUAGAGGCACAUGGACCCAGGCAGAUGAGCCCUUGAAUACAAUCGGCUCCUCUACAGCAUUCUAUGUGUGUCAGUCCUGAGUCUGUGAUCUGAGGUGCUCUGCACAGCUAUUCAGAGAAGCUUUCUAUUGAUCUCUGUCAAAGAUCUCUCUGUUGGAUGUCAGAGGAGAGUGUCCACCCAGUAUCAGUCCUGGGACUGUUGUCCUCUAAUGUGUUAGCCCAUGUGAACCUCCCCACAGAGCCCCACCUGUCCUUGUGCAACUCCUCCUUGAUCGCCUUUUAUAGGAAGAUAUUUAGAGUCCCUUGCACGAGGCAGGGAAAAUGGCACACAGCUGAGGGUGGUAGACAAAGCUGGGAAGACAUCAAAUAUUGAGUUGGUGUGAGGCUCCCUAAGCCAUGCUUGGGCAGGUCUGUGCCAGCGAUCCCAUAAGACACUUUGAUUCUCACCAUGUACACAGCAGGAACCAAUUGCCAGGUCUACCCUCUGCCCAGAGCAAAGGGAGAUUGGUACUUGGAUUCCAACCCUUGCCCAUUCCUUUAAUACCUGACCUUGUAACCCUUGCUCCCUUUGGGGCUCAACAGUCCCCCUCAAAUGUAGACAACAAUGUCUAGAUGGUUUUCACAGCUUUUCUUGCCUGAAACUGUGCUGUGUUUGAUACUACAAACCAGGAAGUAGGGACUUGAACUUGAGAUCACUGACUCAGGCUAGGGAGGACUCCAGAGCACCUGAGCUCAGCUGCAAAGGCAGAAGCUGAACCAGAGUGAGCAGAGGUGGCACAUUUUGCUCUUUCUUUCCUUUUCUGCAAUCAGGCCUUUCAAUGAACACUACAGAUGAGGAUCUUUCCUCCCAGGCUUAGUGUCUGCAGUCAUGAGGGUCCUCUCCAGGGGAUUCAAAGCCCCAGAAGAGUCUUCAGAAGAAAAGGGCUACACACUGCACUGCCCCCCAGCACUCUGAAAAACAGAGACAAUUUCUGGGCUUGGGCCAGUCAGUGCUCAAUAGUUAGCUUCUGGCUGCACUGGCUGCUCACAAAUAACACAGCUGCCUGGGUCCUGUGGCCUGGCUGUCACAGACUGUGAUUGAGAAUUUAUUUCAACGGUGUCAGCAUAGCCACUCUGUUCCUUCUGGUCCCAGGUUGCACAGAGCUCCUUGUCCUCAUACACGCCUGUUCCAUCAUUGGACCUUAAUAUUUGAAGUGAGCCCUACACUCAGGAUGGACUUGGUUUUCUAAACAUCAUGCCAACCGCUGUGUGAGAGGAAGUGUCUGCAUGUAUAUCCAUACCCCCUUAUGUGCCUAGGUGUCCAUGUAUACCACUACCCCAUGUCCUGUCAGAGGCCAUCCUCUGGACAGGUCCUCAUGCCUGCAUGUCAGACCACCUGUCUUCAAGCCCCAACCCCUCCCCACUCCAUGGAUGCAGAGCUUGUGGGCUUUGCGGAUGCAUCCAACAUUGAUGGGGGUUUUGGGGAUUCAAACUCAAGUCCUCACCCGUGGGAGGCAAGUGCUCUGCCUAUCCCUGCAGCUUUGUCUCAGGUGUUUGAUUAUAACCUAGAGCCUUUCUGAGGGCUUAUGAGAACAGUGUCCUCUUGAUGGGUCAGUUUAGAAACACAGCUUUGUCGUUUUUUAUUUUUAUAACACUGUACCAUCAGUUUGAGGCUAAUCAUUCAGAAUUCAAAGAAAAAGUGACACAGCGAGAAUAGACAUGAGGACUUUAAAGCAGGAGGCACAGCAAACAUUCAAAACAGAGAACUAAGGAGAGUAAACAUCUUACAGGCUUUGAUUUCUAAAAGCCUAAAAUCUCUCCAUAGCCCACAGAAGCCAGAGCCUUGAAGCCCUUCCCAACCAUGUCAUGACAGGUCCUAUUGUGACCUCAUGAGGAGUGACUGUGAGGAGGUCCAGCCAACAGACGUUAAGCUGUUGCCAGGCCUGGACCUCUUUGAGUGCUUUGAGAGGAGGUGUGGAGUGGAGCCCUCUGCGACUUGGUUGUAUCUAGUGAGCUGUGUGUGGUUGUAUCGGAUUUUACUGUACUGUGCAUAUGUGUAUGUAUCAGUGUGUGUAGGAUGAUGUGUGUUGACAGAUUUGCUUGUGUGUGAGUGUGUGUACACUUUCGCCUGUGUGUUUUUCAGUAUAUGAAGGAGUGUGAGUUUACAGGUUUGUGUGUAUGUGUUUGUAUGUGUGUACCUCUUCGUGUGUGUGUGUGUGUGUGUCCCUGUGUGUGUGUGUGUGUGUGUCUGUGAUGUGCGUUUUUCCACGUUUGCUUGUGUGUAAGUAUGUGUGUACCUGUUCAUAUGUGAUUGGGUUUUGUGUGAAUCUGGGUGUUUGUAAGAGUUUGUCUGUGUGAGUGUAAGUACACUUUUGUGUAUUUCUGUGUGUGCCUGUGUGUGCCUGUGUGUGUGCCUGUGUGCCUGUGUGUGUGUGUGUGUGUGUGUUGUGUGUGCACACGUCUUCAUCCCGUUUUACCUGCAACUCAAUGCAAGAGAGUGUAGAGGCCAGAAGUCAGCCCGGGCUCCUGUUCAUGAGGUAGCAUUAGUACUGAUAAAAUGCCUACAGAGACUGAGGAGGAGUUACCACCUCCUAGCCCCGAUCCCAGUAUCUCUGAGGAGUGAACCUUUCAUUCCCAAUAUAAAGUAUUGAAGACUAUUGGAAAAGGAAGCCAUGCAAAGGUCCUCCUGGCCCACCGCCGGCUCACAGGAACCCGAGUGGCGGUCAAAGUUCCCCGAAAGGACAAGCAGUGGUUCUGGCCAGCCAUGACAGAAGCAAACAUAAUGAGAAAGAUCAACCACCCCAACAUUGUUUCUCUCUUACAAGUCAUUGAAAAUAAAACGAGAAUAUACCUCAUAAUGGAGCUGGUGGAAGGCCAACAACUCUACCAGUACAUCAGAGAGUCAGGGCGUAGAGGAGGAUGAGGCCCGGCAAAUAUUUGAACAGAUAUUGUCAGCAGUGAGCUACUGCCAUGGAAAGGGGAUUGUUCACCGUGACCUGAAACUGGACAAUAUAAUGAUUGAUAAAAACAAAAAGGUCAAAGUCAUCGACUUUGGGCUUAGCACUGAAACACAACCUGGACAAAUGCUAAAACAGCAAUGCGGUGCAUACUCUUUUGGUUCCCCGGAACUCUUCCUUGGACUUCUGUAUGACGGGAUGAAGAAUGACAUGUGGAAAAUAGGAGUGGUCUUGUACUAUAUGGUAGUGGGAAAGCUCCCGUUUGAUUCAAUGAUCUUCCAAGAAUUACAAAAACACCUUGUUGCAGGGGUGUAUCCUGCCCCCUGUGGGGUUUCAGAAGAACUGUAGAACCUACUUAGUCAAUUUCUAACAGUAAAUCCAAUGUAUAGACCAACAGCCAGCGAGGUGAUGAAACAUGCCUGGUUCAAAGAACACGGGAAGGGGUUCACAGGUCGUUAUGAAGAACUGCUUGCCCUCAGGCCAGAUCCUGAAAUUUUGGCCGCAAUGAAAUGCGAGGGAUUUCAAGACUCUGUAAUAAAAUACUCUCUAAUGAAAAGAAAAUAUAACGAGGAAAUGGCAACUUAUUGCUUUCUACAACAGCAGGCUCUCCAGGGUGAUGGCUGCAAAGCCCAGGCACAGCAGGUGAGUCCCAUUGCAGGCCCAUUCCCUAGCCUUGAUCCUGCUGCUGCUUUUAGAUUAGAACAAAAGAGGAGUGGAUGCCUGCCAGUCCUUGGCACCUUGCGGGUGUCAUCCUCCCAUGGUCAAGUAUCUCACUAUGGCCAGAAGGUUCAUACAUAAGGAGGAAGAAGGUCCACUGUGGCUGGUUGUCUCAGGCCACUACCGAUGACACCUACACAGGACCACUAUGACAAAUGUGCCAUGAGUGUCCCAUGCAUUCAAACAACAAGCAUCUUCAGUGAGAAGAGUAGCAAUAAGGAAAUCAAAGAAGAUAAUCUACUCUCCCACAGAGCCCCAUUAGAGGAUAAGCCCAUCCCCAGCAGGGUCCGGCACAGAGGUUUUAAGGGGGGGACCAGGAAUAUAGCAAAUGCUCUGAUAAAGCUGUGUUGCUGCUUGCCAAGGAGAAAGGAACCUCGCCUGGGGCAGAACAGAAUCUCCCCCCAGAAAUGAGCCACAGGGAGAGUCGAGAGAACAAGCAGCAGGCAUAGCCCAGGUACCUUUGUGCUUUGUCCUUUUCAGUUUGCUCUAUGCUGGUCCUUCCUCUGUCUCUGGUUUCCAUUUUCCCCACAAUUCUUACCUUGUAUCUUCUCUAAGUUCUUUAUGAGGUUUACCCAACACCAAGCCUUCUCCCUCUUCUUGAUUUCUCCUCUUCCCAGCAGGGCCCCAAUAGGAUUGAUGAGUUCCCCACUCUACAGAGUUUUCUUGUUGACCCAUCCCUUCAGAUGGACUCCAGCUCCCCCUUAAGCCAAUAGCUCCCACAGGGUGAGGACUAGAGGUUUAUGGGCUCAUGGACUCCUCCAUGGGCUACUGAUCUUUUCACAUGUGGUCAUCAAUCACAAGUGCCUCAGAACAGAGUCUUAUGUUUUCAAAUGUAACAUCCCAUUUCAUUAAGCCUCAAAACUAAUUAACAAGGUUUGUCAUUGAAUAAGUAUCAACAACCUAGUUUGCUGGUUAUUGUUGAUGGUCAGAAGCAUGCAUAGUUUUUUGCAUGCUGAUUUUUUCGUUCCUAAG
Rattus norvegicus (Norway rat) is the source of this 5678-nucleotide non-coding RNA. The record is from RefSeq and is a predicted model, not a curated record. NCBI's taxonomy places the organism in Eukaryota, Metazoa, Chordata, Mammalia, Rodentia, Muridae.